RNAcentral lists this ribosomal RNA (406 nucleotides) under uncultured bacterium. RNAcentral describes it as "partial 16S ribosomal RNA". It matches the Rfam family "Bacterial small subunit ribosomal RNA", at positions 30 to 526 of the family's 1533-position model. The record is from RNAcentral.
AUUGAACGCUGGCGGCAGGCUUAACACAUGCAAGUCGAGCGAGCGGCGGACGGGUGAGUAAUGUCUGGGAAACUGCCUGCUGGAGGGGGAUAACUACUGGAAACGGUAGCUAAUACCGCAUACCAUCAGAUGUGCCCAGAUGGGAUUAGCUAGGAGGUGGGGUAAUGGCUCACCUCGGCGACGAUCCCUAGCGGGUCUGAGAGGAUGACCAGCCACACUGUAACGGAGACACGGUCCAGACUCGUACGGGAGGCAGCAGUGGGGAAUAUUGCACAAUGGGCGAAAGCCUGAUGCAGCCAUGCCGCGUGUGUGAAGAAGGCCUUCGGGUUGUAAAGCACUUUCAGCGAGGAGGCGGUACUCGCAGAAGAAGCACCGGCUAACUCCGUGCCAGCAGCCGCGGUAAUUC